AUCCUUUUGUAAUUCAUGAGCACAGUGAUUGGGUCUUUGUGUACCUGUGUGAGAUGUGCCUCCCUCAAACUUUGUCAGUAAAGUACAGGAUGCUUAAGCCC
Small nucleolar RNA from Otolemur garnettii (small-eared galago), 101 nucleotides. Lineage: Eukaryota; Metazoa; Chordata; Mammalia; Primates; Galagidae. The record is from Ensembl.